GACGAACGCUGGCGGCGUGCCUAAUACAUGCAAGUUGAGCGCUGAAGGUUGGUACUUGUACCAACUGGAUGAGCAGCGAACGGGUGAGUAACGCGUGGGGAAUCUGCCUUUGAGCGGGGGACAACAUUUGGAAACGAAUGCUAAUACCGCAUAAAAACUUUAAACACAAGUUUUAAGUUUGAAAGAUGCAAUUGCAUCACUCAAAGAUGAUCCCGCGUUGUAUUAGCUAGUUGGUGAGGUAAAGGCUCACCAAGGCGAUGAUACAUAGCCGACCUGAGAGGGUGAUCGGCCACAUUGGGACUGAGACACGGCCCAAACUCCUACGGGAGGCAGCAGUAGGGAAUCUUCGGCAAUGGACGAAAGUCUGACCGAGCAACGCCGCGUGAGUGAAGAAGGUUUUCCGAUCGUAAAACUCUGUUGGUAGAGAAGAACGUUGGUGAGAGUGGAAAGCUCAUCAAGUGACGGUAACUACCCAGAAAGGGACGGCUAACUACGUG
This 497-nucleotide ribosomal RNA is filed under the name uncultured bacterium. RNAcentral's name for it is "partial 16S ribosomal RNA". It matches the Rfam family "Bacterial small subunit ribosomal RNA", at positions 28 to 507 of the family's 1533-position model. The record is from RNAcentral.